GCCGGGCAUGGUGGCGGGUGCCUGUAAUCCCAGCUACUCAGGAGGCUGAGGCAGGAGAAUCGCUCGAACCCGGGAGGCAGAGAUUGCAGUGAGCCGAGAUUGCACCACUGCACUCCAGCCUGGGCGACAGAGCGAGACUCUGUCUCAA
Unclassified non-coding RNA from Pongo abelii (Sumatran orangutan), 148 nucleotides. It matches the Rfam family "Metazoan signal recognition particle RNA". Rfam says of the family: The signal recognition particle (SRP) is a universally conserved ribonucleoprotein. It is involved in the co-translational targeting of proteins to membranes. The eukaryotic SRP consists of a 300-nucleotide 7S RNA and six proteins: SRPs 72, 68, 54, 19, 14, and 9. The record is from Ensembl. NCBI's taxonomy places the organism in Eukaryota, Metazoa, Chordata, Mammalia, Primates, Hominidae.